UUCCUGGAGGAGACCAAGCUGUCCCACCAGGAUGGUACAGAGGCAACAAACAGUACUAACUGAAGAACUCAGCAAGGGAAAAAACCCUAAAUCAGUCAAGAAAGAAAGGCCCCCCAAGAAGACCCCAAAUACCAAAAGAAACCGUGUUAGGGAAACACAGCCUCCUGUUGCCUGCAACAGCUGUGAAGGAGAAAAACGUGGAUCUCUGCUAUGGAAAUACCAUGGCAAAUCCAGUUGGAAUAGGAAGACAAAAGUAAUUGUAGAAGAAAAACAAGGGCUAUAUUUACUUUAAUUUUCAUCUGUUUGGCCUGUUUCUAGCCCUCUGCCAUGUCUCUUGCUGUUUGUUGAAAGCCUCCAUGGAACAAAACUUCAGCCCAGGCCCCCACUUGACACAAGACACUGCAGAAGUUUCUCCUUCCUUCAGCAACGAAGCAAACGCCAGCAGAGAAGAAGGUUCUUUCACCACAGAGGCAGCAAUGCCCUUAAGUGAACCAGCAUCUACACAUGCAAAGCCUUCACCCCAAGUGGGGAAGACCUUUUAACUUGACUCUGCCAGACAUCAAGGGGAUUAAGGGUACCAUUUAACUCGGCCCAACUUCUCAGUUAACAGUAUCCUUGCAUGCACCUCCACUGCUCUUUUGCAGCACUGGGCAAGCUCACUUGAGCCAACUCUUGAGGCUUUUAUCUUUAAAGGAAGCACAGAUAGAAAGUUCAAUAAGCCAUGGAGAUGCAACCCGAAGCAUAACAUAACUGGUUCCAGCCACGCAAAGGAAUGGGAACAGCCAGCACCCUGCAAGCUCCGGGGCUGUCACUGAGAGAUCAUAGGCACUGUUGGCCCUGUUGACCUCAACCAGCUACAGCUUUUGAAACCACACAAGGUAUUUUAAGCCGAACUCCCGGAUCUGAAGACAAGAUUUGAGUCUGUUCAGAGCUGUUCUGCUGGCAUCCAACCACAGAACCAAAAUCCUCAUUCAACCCCAAUGAGAUUUUCCUUCCCGGGCACCUCUGAGAUCCUUCAGAACUGAAAAUGCUGGUUUGCCUUUCAUGAACCCAAGUUCCAAUGUUUGCCACCAACGGAGGAAAAAGCCAGCAUUUACCACACAAGGUUUUUUCCUAUACUAAUGGCAGGAAAUACCACAAAUACCAGGAUGAAAUAAAAAUCCACAGCCCCUCCAGAUGCCACAUGAAUUAGCAAGGGCUGGGAGAGCUGGAACAUGAUGAGAAAUCUUACUCCUCUGUCAUCUGGCUCGAGGACAAGGAGGAGAGGUCUCUGAAGAAAGUCAGCUCCCAGGGGGCUCACAACUGAGAAGCGUUUCAGCUGCCCAACUGUAAGUGCCUCACUCUCCCCCUCUCAGACCCAGAUGACUUCAUUUUCUUCUGUUGCUACUCCCACUCCCACAUACUCCUGAGAAAAGGACAUCGGUCAUGACAUCAAAGUACAAGAAUCCAUCAAACUGCACUUCUGUAUCUCAUCUUCCCAAGGCUGCACUUGCUCUAUGGUCCCGCUGGCAAGAAGCCACCACAGAAAACAGAUUUACCCUGCUGGGAGCAGCCAGGUCCAAAUCAACAUCAAGCUGAAAUUACUGCAUGGAGCACUAAAAACCUUUGGUUUUGGCUUCUUAUGCAUGCAACUUUUGACUGCAAGCUCUGUCUGAACACGAUCAGCAUUAUUGGUACAACCUGCUCAGGAAAUCUCUAAAAAAGAUUGAGCCACUGCUGUAUGAUGAGGGAAGAUGUCUUGAUUUAAGAACACAGGCAUUACUAGAAAGGGAAAAAAUAAAAGGGUCCCUUACUGUUCUGACAUAUCAAAAGCAGACUAAUGAACCACCAGUUCAUAGAAUGACCCUGCUCAUCAUUUCAGAGCCAGGCUGGCCUUUUGUGUUAAGGACACUGAAUAACAAGAGCAAGAACAAACAGAAAGAAUCCUUUCCCCAUGCCCAAAGUAAAUUUUGAAAUGAAAUCAUUUAAAACUACACCCGGCUGCCCUACUUUAAGGUCCACUUAAGAACAGAUGAAAAGUUUUGUUCUAUUGGCAAAACUGAAUCAAGGCUUUUGAUCCUCAAAGAUCUCUUAAUCGCUUUGCACAUCAGUUCUUUUCAUUAUUUCAAACACACUUGAAGACAGCUCCCUUUUUCUCUCUCUCCCUUUUUUUCCCCCCAAAAAAAAACUUCUCUGUGUUUGGGCCAUUUUCCAGCCAACUGUGCCACUACAGCAGAAAGCUGUUGGUUCUUUACUCACUCCAAGUUGCAACAUAUACGCAUUGUGAUUUGCCUUAGGGAAGUCUCAAAAAGCCCGGCCCUUGCAACUAACUGUGCUAGCUCACAGCAUCCACCUCUUCAUCCUUCUAAUGCUUCACAAGAGUUCCAAGGAAGAUUAUAAGCCUCUGGUUAAAAAAAAUGAAAGUAGUUGUUGGUGGCAUUGUUAUUGUGUUGCAUUUGGUUUUGUUUCUUUUUCUUUUUUAAAGCUUGACUCAGAAUUGCAAUCUUGGCCACAUAAACUCAACUUAAUUCAAGGGUUCUUCAAAAUUUCACGUCUCUGCAAUUCCAUUAAGUCAAAUACUACACCAAAUCAGCAGUGCUGCACAAAAAACUUCUGUCAGAAGUGGUAAUAACCCUGGCCACCUUAGCACUCUAGUAAAUGGGAGGAGUGCUUAACCAGACUAAGAUAGAGCUUACCAACAAAUAUGUACAGUACCCUUCAGUUUUUUACUUAAUUCUUGCUCCUGGCUUUUAGCUCGCUAACUGAAAGGGCAGAGACUUUCUGAAACAAAGAUCAGCUGCUUGUUUGUGGUCUGUGAAUGAACUUGCCACAAGUGGACUGCUUACAAUUGUAAUAAAGACUAUAGACAGGAGAGGCAGGAGGUGGAGUCAGUUAGCUGGCUGACAAACUCAUAGGGGGGAUGGAUAACAUCAAAAACAAACUCCACCUGGAAAGCUGCAUGUAGGCAGUACAGCAGAGCAACAGUUUAAUGCGUUCAGUGCCGUAGGCAUUGUUUAGCAAGUGGGUGGAUGCUUUGUGAGCCAGCUUCAUCUACCCAAAUGGUGUCAAAGCCAUUGUAAACUGCCUUGUUAAAUGCUGGUCACAAAGCAAUACUGAGCCGAGGAGGGCCAGCAACAGAAGGCUCCUGGCUGCAUCAACACAGAACAGGCGUAUGCUCUGUCAUGAUAAAGGAUGCAGAUAAUAACUGUAUGCUGCUCCACAUGAACCUCUCAUUCAGGCCAGUCAAUACUGCCAGCCUGAGACCCACCAGCAGUUUCAGAGGAGACCGCCUUCAUGUGAUCUGGGUUACCAGAGACCCCUCCGUGUCCCCUUGUCAUUAACACAAGGAAAGAAUAUUCUUCUGUGAGAUCUGAUUUGAACUUACGCCCUCUGCAUGUAGCAAUCAAACAGUUCAGCCUCUCUAAGCCUCCUUUUUCCUUGCCUACUCUUAUUCUUGCAUUUAUACCCUUAAAGGCAGGGAAAUUCUGUCUAUAAAUAUAUACACUGCAUAGCAGCACACCGUUUGUACUGAUAUUUGAGCUUUCAGAUUCAGCCACAGUAAAAUAGUAUUUAGACCCUGGUCAUUUAUUCCAAUGUAGCAGAUGAGUCAGAUGAAACCCAGCUGAGACCACAGCAACCAUGACAGCCCUGCAAACCCACUUCAUUGGCAUCGAAUAGAGAGGACAAAACAGAUGCCCUCUGACAACUGCCCUCCAGCACUGCAGAGUUGUGGCUGUUGUGCAAGGAAAUAGCCAUUCCCCAACACCAAGCCCACACAGACCUCACAGAGGCUGUACGCAUCCACGCAGCACAACAGAAAGCAGACCUGGAAAGAUGAGCUUACUCUUCGCCAGCUUUUAGUAGCUGCUGAACAAAAAGCACCAGGGUUUGCCAGAGCACAAAGCUAGACAAGACAGGACCAAAAGGAAACCUACGAUUCCAGCCACCUCCUGACUAGCUCUGCAUAACAGGAGUGCCAGACACAGGCUGACAGCUAGCGCGUGGCAGGACAGAAUUGCUCUUCAGAGCAUCCCAAAGGAUAGUUUCUUCACCUACAGUCACAAGGGUUACUUGCUGUAGGCAGCUCCUAUUUUCCAACACCUUCCUGCAGCUCAGCCCUGUGUAUGUCACAAUCCACAGAUGAGUUCUUUGGCAUGGAUUUAUAUAUUUCUGUGCAUUCUACCUACUGGUGUCUGGCUGCUUGUAGAGUAAUUACUUUGCCCUUCCCAGAGCACACUGUAACAUUAAACCUUAUUUUACUUGGCAGCUAGAGAUCACUUCUCAAUCAGCUGUGAGAAAAAGACCCCUCAACUGAUGCAAAUAAACAUGGUUUUAUUUUUAAUUAGUAAGUUAAAACAGCUUGUGUUCCAGGCUGUGCAGUACACAUCCAUCUCCAUAAAACCCCACGUGAAGGAGACCUUCUGGCCUCUCUGAUGCUCUAGGAGACACUUUG
Gallus gallus (chicken) is the source of this 4432-nucleotide long non-coding RNA. NCBI's taxonomy places the organism in Eukaryota, Metazoa, Chordata, Aves, Galliformes, Phasianidae. The record is from Ensembl.